UAUUGUUGGUCGUACAGGCAGUGGGAAGUCUACUCUCAUCGGUGCUUUAUUUCGUCUGGUGGAGCCAGCUGGAGGGAAGAUCACAGUCGAUGGCAUUGACAUCUCUACUAUAGGACUCCAUGAUCUGAGGUCAAGAUUUGGAAUAAUACCUCAAGACCCUACUCUCUUUUAUGGGACUGUUAGAUACAAUUUGGAUCCCCUAUAUCAACAUUCAGACCCUGAGAUAUGGGAGGUAGUACUUGAGUUCAUUAUGCUUGUUGUCUGUAAUGUUCCUUCUUGGUUGAUUAUUCUAAUUAGAGAAUUAUCUUUGCAUUUUAAGGUUCUUGGGAAGUGUCAGCUACGAGAGGCUGUUCAAGAAAAAGAAGGCGGCUUAGACUCUUUAGGUAACGUUUUGGUGUAUCAGUUUUGCUUUUGAACUGUGAUCAGCAAUAUUAUGUCAUGACCUGUUUGCCUCUUCAGUUGUGGAAGAUGGAUCAAACUGGAGCAUGGGGCAAAGGCAGCUGUUCUGUUUGGGCCGAGCUCUAUUGAGAAGAAGUCGCGUAUUGGUGCUUGAUGAAGCAACUGCUUCCAUUGACAAUGCAACUGAUAUGAUCUUACAGAAGACUAUACGCACUGAAUUUGCAGAUUGUACAGUUAUUACAGUAGCUCACAGGAUACCGACUGUGAUGGAUUGCACAAUGGUCCUUGCCAUUAGUGACGGUGAGUUUCAUUGGCUUAAUGCACAGCUAAAGAAAAACCAUGCAUGUUUCUGUAUUUAUCACUGAUAAUGAAGGAAAUGUUAUGAUUUGUUACAGGGAAAAUAGUGGAGUAUGAUGAGCCAAUGAACCUAAUGAAAAGGGAAGGCUCACUAUUCGGGCAGCUUGUCAAGGAAUACUGGUCUCAUCUCCAGUCUGCAGAAGCACAUUGAACGUGACAAUAGCUGCGAUGUAGCCUUUCUGCUACGGUGACAACAGUUGCGCAGCAAUUGCUCGAUGAAGAAGUGAGGUGGGGAGAGUAAUAGCAAGCAACCUGAGGAGUAGGAGAUCAUAUUCGGAGUUCUUCAUGCGGGGUAUUCACUACCUUAUUCCUACAAUGCGAUGAAAAAUAAUGGUUUACUUAGCAUAGAUCAUUGCUAUUUAGAAACUCAGAUCUCUUGUCAGCUCAUAAUCAGUCACCACCAAAGAAUGUAAUCUCCAGUAUAGUGUAUCCACGAUGUACUGUAUUGUAUGUAUCAAGACCAUGAUGAAGAAUGCAAAAUGUAAAAGCAAUUUCCAAACAAGAUGUAGUCCGACAAAUACAAGUAUCAUGCCCCUUGAUCCAAAUAGAAUAGAGAUAUCAGUUACAAGAGUGCGGUUUUACUCACCCCCUUAUAACACAGUUAGCGAUUCUUACUUCUUUAUCGGUUACUAAGUAGGUGAACAUUAUUAUUUUCAAGCCUUAUAUGAUUCUAAGAGGAGAGAAUAUGCCGACUUAUAAAUACGACAAGAAACAAUUACGUGUGCCAUGACGCCAUAUGUGAUUCCGACCAUGGAACAUCAUAAUUUUCCAGCUUGUCCAAAUCAGUUGCACACUAGAAUCCAAUCCCUGUAUGACUCUAAAGCACCACACAUUGCCACAAACUAACCCAGACCCUAAUCACCAAUCUCUGUCAUGAUAUAUGAACCCAAUAACAACUCAUUGUUUUGCAUGAAGCCACAAACUGAGGACCCUUUUCCACAAUUUGACUUGAUUUUGUGCCUCACGUGUUGGAUGAGAAAAUCCUCACACAUCUCAAAAAUCACAGAAAAGUUACUAGUAGUCCUCAAUACGUAUCUUCUUGAUCAAUACUAAUAUGGGAAACCAACUUCGUUGUCAAGCUGAAACGUCAUAGUGGCAUUUCUGGUAGUAAGCCAACCCGCUUAUUGUUGCGAUUUACCAAGUUGUUUGAUUCGUUUUGAGUUCUUGCUUUGUUUUUCUUCCUUGUUUAACUUCAUGUUGCUGUAGUACAGAACAAAACCAAGAGAUUGAUUUUGUACUAUUUAAAUGUCGACUGGAUCUUAACUUAUUGUCACGUGAGUAUUGCGUCACUUAUUUUUUAUACAAGUUGUUGAUCUAUGAUUGCUUCUUUAUUUAGUAUAUGGUUGAAUUUCUGAGCAGUUGAGCUGGUGAGGUCAGAGAGAGUUUGCUGAGUGAUGAACUGGGUGACAUAAUAGAAUCAUAUAGUUUCUGCUACUUUGUGUGGCUCAAGAGAAAAGAAGACCUUCUGUUCUCUUGGGCCAGUUCUCUUUGGUAUGCUCUUUACAUUUCUCUACUCAUUAUGAUAAAAAAAAAAAAAAGAUUUGUUCUUUGAUGCUUUUUGGUUUUGGUUUUGAUGAAUCAAGCUUUAUGGGUUCGGGGUUGUUUUGGUAGUUGAGUUUGUCAUGCAAAUUUUCUUAGUAUAAUUUCUUGUGUUGCAUACUAUGCAGUGUAAGAAGAGCAGUGGAGGCCUACAGUAACUGAAAAGAAUGAUGGAGGAUUUAUGGACUCUGUUUUGUGGGGAAUCUGGAGGUUCAGAGAGUUUGGAUUUUCAGUUUCUGGUUCAUCCUUCUUCAUGCAUUAAUCACGCGUUAAUAAUUUUCCUAGACAUUGUUCUUCUUGUGGUACUCUUGUUCAGUAUGUUUCUCAAGUCAUCAAAAUCAGUUCAUGUUCCAGCACGAUUUCGAGGGUUUUCUGGUUUGCAAAUAGUCUCGAUCAUUUUCAAUGGCGGUCUUGGAUUUGUGUACUUCUGCUUGGGAGCCUGGAUUCUAGAAGAGAAGCUGAGGAAUACUCGGACUGCUUUGCCUUUGAAUCGGUGGUUACUUGGUCUUUUUCAAGGCUUCACAUGGUUGUUUUUGAGCUUAACUCUAAGCCUCAGGGUGAAGCAACUCCCAAGACAGCCUUCAAGACUGUUGUCCAUCCUUGCAUUUUUGUUCUCUGGAGUUGUCUUUGCUCUAUCACUCUUUGCUGUCAUUUUCGGAAAUGAAAUGUCAGUUAAGAUAGUACUGGAUAUCCUGACUUUCCCAGGAGCAGCAUUGUUGCUGCUAUGUGUUUUCAAGGGGUAUAAGUAUGAAGAAGGUGAUGAGAUCAUCAGUGACAAUGGCCUUUAUGCCCCUCUCAAUGGUGAGUCCAAUGGCAUUAGUAAAGGUAAUGAUCAUGCAACCCCAUUCAGCAAAGCUGGUUUAUUCAGUAAAAUGUCAUUUUGGUGGUUAAAUUCAUUGAUGAAAAGAGGUAGGGAGAAAACUCUGGAGGAUGAAGAUAUACCGAAGUUGCGGAAGGAAGAUCGAGCAGAAAGUUGUUAUGAGAUGUUCUUGGAGCAACUAAGCAAGCAGAAACAAAUUGAGCCAUCUUCCCAGCCAUCAGUGUUAAAGAUUAUAAUCCUAUGCCACUGGAAGGAGAUUUUACUAUCUGGUUUCUUUGCUUUGUUGAAGAUACUCACUAUCUGUGCUGGUCCUUUGCUUCUCAAUGCCUUCAUUUUAGUUGCAGAGGGAAAUGAAAGUUUCAAGCAUGAAGGUUAUCUAUUAGCCGGAGCACUUUUUGUGUCGAAAACCAUUGAAUCCUUGUCACAAAGGCAGUGGUACUUCAGGUGCAGGCUCAUCGGUUUGAAAGUUAGGUCUUUGCUGACAGCAGCCAUUUACAAAAAGCAAUUGAGGCUAUCUAAUGCUGCUAAGUUGACACACUCAGGUGGUGAGAUUAUGAAUUAUGUUACAGUAGAUGCUUAUAGAAUUGGAGAGUUUCCAUUUUGGUUCCAUCAGACUUGGACUACUAGCAUCCAGCUCUGUUUCUCUUUGGUGAUUCUUUUCCGUGCAGUUGGCCUAGCUACAUUUGCAGCCUUGGUGGUGAUACUUUUGAGUGUGAUUUGCAAUGCUCCAGUUGCUAAGCUACAACAUAAGUUCCAGAGUAAGCUGAUGAAGGCACAAGAUGAAAGGCUCAAGGCUAUUUCUGAGGCUCUAGUGAAUAUGAAGGUCUUAAAGUUAUAUGCAUGGGAAACACAUUUCAAGAAGGCAAUUGAAAAGUUAAGGAAGGAGGAGCACAAAUGGUUAUCUGCAAUGCUGUUAAGAAGAGCAUAUAGUACUUAUCUCUUUUGGUCAACUCCUGUUCUGGUCUCUACUGCAACAUUUGGGGCAUGCUACCUUCUUAAAAUUCCACUACAUGCAAACAAUGUUUUCACUUUUAUCUCAACUUUGAGACUUGUUCAGGAUCCCAUCCGAACCAUACCUGAUGUUUUUGCGGUUGUGAUUCAAGCCAAGGUCGCAUUUGGUCGUAUUGUGAAAUUCCUUGAGGCACCUGAGCUGCAACCUUCAAAUGUCCGGAAGUGCAACAUGCAGAAUGUAGCUAACUCCAUUGAAAUUAAGUCAGCUAAUUUUUCAUGGGAAGCGAAUGCAGCGAAGCCCAUACUGAGAAAUAUAAAUUUAGAGGUUAGACCAGGUGAAAAGGUGGCUAUAUGCGGUGAAGUCGGUUCUGGUAAAUCAAGCCUUCUAGCUGCAAUUCUUGGAGAAAUUCCAACUGUGCAAGGAAAUGUAAGUUGCUAGUUUUCUCUCCUGUGUUAGCAUGUUAAUCUUUCUAAAUGGGGUCAAUCUAGUUGUAAAUUACUUGAAAAGAACAAUGUACAUUAUAUAACCUUAGCAUUUUCAUUAUCGAAUUUCAGAUUCAAGUUUAUGGGAAGAUUGCCUAUGUUUCUCAAACAGCAUGGAUCCAGUCAGGAACUAUACAGGAAAAUAUUCUCUUCGGUUCUUGUAUGGAUAGUGAACGAUACCGAGAAACACUUGAGAGAUGUUCACUUGUAAAGGACCUUGAGCUACUGCCUUAUGGUGAUCUUACUGAAAUAGGGGAGAGAGGGGUGAAUCUAAGUGGAGGUCAGAAGCAGCGGAUCCAACUUGCACGCGCACUCUAUCAGGAUGCUGAUAUUUAUCUCUUGGAUGAUCCAUUCAGUGCUGUUGAUGCACAUACUGCCACAAACUUAUUUAAUGUAGAUUAACUUUCCAAACUUGUGCUGCGCCUUAUUUGAUUUACUUCUUGCUUAUACUGAAAGCUAACAUAUACAUUGGCAGGAUUAUGUAAUGGAAGCACUUUCAGGCAAGACAGUACUACUUGUGACCCAUCAAGUUGAUUUCCUGCCUGCAUUUGAUUUCGUUUUGGUUAGUCUUCUUUAAUUUUCUGUAUCUUUUGUGUGCAAAACCAAUAUAUUAAUUGUUGGGGGCUUCCUGCAUGUUCUGUGUUAUUCAUGAAUGUUACCAUUAGCAGAGCUGUUUGUCGAAUGCAAUGAUUUUAUAUUUGAAUUUUAUUAACAGUUGAUGAUGGAUGGGGAGAUCCUACAAGCAGCUCCUUAUCAGCAUCUAUUGGCUUUAAGCCAAGAAUUCCAGGACCUUGUCAAUGCACACAAAGAAACUGCUGGUGCCGAAAGGCUUUCAGAUGUCACUUCUGCUCAGAAUUCUGCAAUAUCUUCAAGGGAGAUCAAGAAGAGUUAUGUGGAGAAGCCAUUAAAAGAAAAUAAAGGUGACCAAUUGAUUAAACUAGAAGAGAGAGAAACAGGAGACACAGGUUUUAAGCCAUACAUACUGUAUCUGAAACAGAACAAAGGGUUCUUGUACUUCUCAAUUGCCGUUUGUCUACACUUCACUUUCAUUAUGAGUCAGAUUGCACAGAACUCUUGGAUGGCUGCUAAUGUUGAUAAUCCGAAUAUUAGCACAUUGCGGUUGCUUGUGGUUUACUUAUCGAUUGGAUUCUCCGCUACAUUUAUAUUUCUGUUUAGAUCUCUUGCAGCAGUUGUUGGGGGUCUAGAAACAUCUAAGUCUUUGUUCUCACAACUACUGAACUCCCUUUUCCGUGCACCCAUGUCAUUCUAUGACUCAACACCACUGGGAAGGAUACUUAGUCGGGUAUGCAUUUCAACUAGAAACUUUGGUUUAUAGACUAGGAGGACAUGAAAGAUACUAAUAGCUUUAUCUACUGCAUUGUUUCAUGUUUAGGUUUCAUCUGAUCUGAGUAUCACUGAUCUUGAUAUUCCAUUCAGCAUAGUAUUUGCUUGUGGAGCUACCAUGAAUGCCUAUUGCAAUCUUGGAGUAUUGACUGUUGUUACUUGGCAAGUUCUGUUUGUCUCCAUACCAAUGGUCUGUGUCGCAAUUCAGCUACAGGUAAUGCUAUAUGAGGUUUUUCAUAUAUUAUCUGAAUAUUUGAAAGAGCAGAAGCAAUUGUUUUUGUUUAAAAAGAACAUGAUUUGACUGUUUUGACAUGACAUUUCUUAUUUUCAGAAAUAUUACUUUUCCACUGCAAAAGAGUUGAUGAGGAUCAAUGGAACAACCAAGUCUUUUGUGGCAAACCAUCUCGCAGAGUCCGUCUCAGGUGCCAUUACCAUAAGAGCUUUCAAUGAAGAAGAGCGCUUCUCGGCAAAGAACUUUCAGCUCAUUGACACAAAUGCUAGUCCCUAUUUCCACAGUUUUUCCGCAAAUGAGUGGUUAAUCCAACGAUUAGAGAUAAUCAGCGCCGCGGUUCUUGCCUCUGCAGCACUUUGUAUGGUUUUACUUCCUCAUGGAACUUUCACCUCUGGUAAGCUUCUCUAAACUUUUCUGGAAAGAGCCUUCCUGGAGUUUAAGCAAUCAGGCUAAUGGAUUUUUUUUUUUUGACACUUCUACCAAUGGCUAUAAAUGUUACUGCAGGAUUUAUUGGGAUGGCACUUUCUUACGGUCUAUCAUUAAACGUGUCCUUGAUCAACUCAAUUCAGAACCAGUGCACCAUAGCAAAUUACAUAAUUUCUGUUGAAAGACUAAACCAAUAUAUGAACAUUCCUAGUGAAGCCCCAGAAGUAGUAGAGGGAAACCGUCCACCGGCCAACUGGCCUGUUGUUGGAAAAGUGGAGAUACAAAAUUUGCAGGUAAAUACUGGUGUGUCUUUAGUAUUGAAAACUAAUGUUUAUGUGAAGAAGGUUGCUGAGGCCUAAUUUGAUGUGAAACAGAUAAGAUAUAGGGAAGACACACCGCUUGUUCUUCGAGGUAUCAGCUGUGUUUUUGAGGGAGGGCACAAGAUUGGGAUUGUUGGUAGGACAGGCAGUGGGAAGUCUACACUAAUCGGUGCUCUUUUUCGUCUGGUUGAGCCAGCCGGAGGGAAGAUCAUAGUUGAUGGCAUUGACAUUUGCACUAUAGGACUUCAUGAUCUAAGGUCAAAAUUUGGAAUUAUACCUCAAGACCCUACUCUCUUUAAUGGGACUGUCAGAUACAAUUUGGACCCCUUAUCUCAACAUUCAGACCAGGAAAUAUGGGAGGUGAGGACCAAGUCUGUAAUCUUUGUUUUCUGUAAUGUUGCUUUUUUGUUGUUUGUUUGGACUA
RNAcentral lists this long non-coding RNA (7295 nucleotides) under Fragaria vesca (wild strawberry). RNAcentral describes it as "long non-coding RNA (FVES_LNC003918)". The record is from RNAcentral. Lineage: Eukaryota; Viridiplantae; Streptophyta; Magnoliopsida; Rosales; Rosaceae.